AGAGUUUGAUCCUGGCUCAGGAUGAACGCUGGCGGUGUGGAUAAGGCAUGCAAGUCAAGGGGUUGCUUUCGGGCAACACCGGCGAAUGGGUUAGUAACACGUAACUACCUACCCAAUACACAGGUAUAGUCCAAAGAAAUUUGGGUUAAUUCCUGAUAGUCUGGCAUUUAUUGUCAGUAAAGGCGCAAGCCGGUAUUGGACGGGGUUGCGGUCUAUCAGCUUGAAGGCGGGGUAAAAGCCCACCUUGGCUAUGACGGAUAGGGGGUGUGAGAGCAUGUUCCCCAACAAUGGUACUGAGACACGGACCAUACUCCUACGGGAGGCAGCAGUCGAGAAUAUUAGGCAAUGGGCGAAAGCCUGACCUAGCGACACCGCGUGCUUGAAGAAGCCCUUCGGGGUGUAAAGAGCUUUUCUAAAAGAACAAGUCGCGUUUCACUAUUGUUCAGUGUUGACGGAUUUUUAAGUUUGAUAUUGAGCAGUAGCGAGGCGCGAUUGAGCGUAUUUUAGGAAUAAGGGGCUGCUAACUCUGUGCCAGCAGCAGCGGUAAUACAGAGGCCCCAAGCGUUAUCCGGAUUUAUUGGGCGUAAAGCGUUCGUAGGCGUUUUAUCAGGUUCUUCGUUAAAUACCAGCGCUUAACGUUGGAAAUGAGGAGAAAACCGAUAAAAUAGAGGACGUUAGAGGCAGAUAGAACAUUCGGAGUAGGGGUGAAAUCCGUUGAUAUCGAAUGAAAUACCAAAUGCGAAGGCAUUCUGCUGGGGCGGUCCUGACGCUGAGGAACGAAAGCGUGGGGAGAAAAAAAGGAUUAGAUACCCUUGUAUUGCACGCCGUAAACGAUGGAUACUGGCUAUUGGUAGUGUCGACCCUAUCAGUGGCGAAGCUAACGCGUUAAGUAUCCCGCCUGGGAAGUACGGCCGCAAGGCUAAAACUCAAAGGAAUAGACGGGGACUCACACAAGCGGUGGACCAUGUGGCUUAAUUCGAUGAUAAGCGAAGAACCUUACCAGGGCUUGACAAGAUAGUGAAACUCUAAUGAAAGUUAGAGCUUCUGCAAGGACACUAUCCCAGGUGCUGCAUGGUUGUCGUCAGCAGGUGCUGUGAAGCGCUCCCUUUAAUGGGGAAACCUGCGCAACCCUUGCUCUAUGUUUUAUAUGUCAUAGAGGACUGCCCGGGAUAACUGGGAGGAAGGUGAGGAUGACGCCAAAUCAGCAUGGCCCUUUGAUGCCCUGGGCCGCACACGUGGUACAAUGGCCGAUACAACGGGUUGCGAAACCGCAAGGUGGAGCUAAUCCUAUCAAAAUCGGUCUCAGUUCGGAUUGAGGUCUGAAACUCGACCUUAUGAAGUUGGAAUCGCUAGUAAUCGCCAAUCAGCUAUGUGGCGAUGAAUAUGUUCCUGAGUCUUGUACUCACUGCCCGUCACACCAGGAGAGCUGGCAGCGCCCGAAGCCCCCUACCUUUGCUCCGCAAAGAAAUUUCGAAUUUAAAAUUUUGAAUGAAUUUCGAAUGUUUUAAUGAUUUAAUGAUUUAAUGUUUAAACAUUCAGACAUUAAGUCAUUAAUCAUUCAUUCAAAAUUAAAAAUUCAAAAUUUCUUUAACGAAGUAGAGGUAGGGGUCUAAGGCGAGGUUAGUAAUAAGGGUGAAGUCGUAACAAAGGUA
This 1652-nucleotide ribosomal RNA is filed under the name uncultured bacterium. Its description in RNAcentral is "bacterial SSU rRNA". It matches the Rfam family "Bacterial small subunit ribosomal RNA". The record is from RNAcentral.